CUAAGAAUAUUCCGCAAUGGACGGAAGUCUGACGGAGCGACGCCGCGUGGAUGAAGAAGGCCGAAAGGUUGUAAAGUUCUUUUGCUGGGGAAGAAUAACCGCAGGAGGGAAUGCCUGUGGGAUGACAAGAACCGGCGAAUAAGCCCCGGCCAACUACGUGCCAGCAGCCGCGGUAACACGUAGGGGGCGAGCGUUGUUCGGAAUUACUGGGCGUAAAGGGCAUGUAGGCGGCUUGGAAAGCCUGGCGUGAAAGUCUGCAGCUUAACUGCAGGGGUGCGCUGGGAACUGCUGAGCUUGAGUGACGGAGAGGGAGCUGGAAUUCCUGGUGUAGGGGUGAAAUCUGUAGAUAUCAGGAAGAACACCGAUGGCGAAGGCAAGCUCCUGGCCGAUGACUGACGCUGAGGUGCGAAAGUGUGGGGAUCAAACAGGAUUAGAUACCCUGGUAGUCCACACAGUCAACGAUGUGCACUAGGUGCUGGGGCGGUAGCUUCGGUGCCGGAGCGAACGUGGUAAGUGCACCGCCUGGGGGAGUAUGCUCGCAAGGGUGAAACUCAAAUGAAUUGACGGGGGUCAUA
RNAcentral lists this ribosomal RNA (575 nucleotides) under uncultured bacterium. RNAcentral describes it as "partial 16S ribosomal RNA". It matches the Rfam family "Bacterial small subunit ribosomal RNA", at positions 355 to 924 of the family's 1533-position model. The record is from RNAcentral.